CCCCGUGGUGUUGGAGGGUGCAGGGAAGGGGGGAUCAGGGGGUAGGAGGGUGGGUGCUGCAGGAAGGGAAUCCUGGGAGCAAGCCCUGGGUGCUGCACCCCUAUCAGGGCAGGGGGUGGGCCCCUGUUGUAAAGGAUAAAGCAAAAAGCUUGGAGAAUUGGGGUGGGGGGUGGUUUUACAGGCCAGGUGGGGGCUUAAAUAAAACACUUAAAUAAGCACUAAUUGCUUAGCAGGGGGGAGGAACCAGCAGUGGGGGUAUGGGGUGGCAUGGCCACCCUGGGGCUGAUGCUGAGGUCCCCCAGGGUCCUGGCUGUGACCUGGACUGGAGAACAGCCCCUGGCCCCCACAACAGCUUCCUGAGCACCAAGGGCACUCCAGCUGGGAUACAGCUCCAGGCUGGGCUGGCCACGGGAGGGGGUGGGAGAAGGGUGGGUGACUACGGGGACACCUCUGCCGGCACUGGGACCCAUGGCGGUGCCAGGCUGGGGUGGGGACGGGCUCAUCCCACGAGUCCUGGUGCCAGAGCUGCGUCCAGCCCAGGGUGGGACCAUCCUGUGGCAUGGAGCAGAGCCCCUGGCACCAGCCCCAUCCCACAUGGGUGCUGUCUGUGCAGCGUCCCUGCACGGGCACACCCAUGUGCCCUCAUUCCCCCAGGAUGGGGCAGGGGGGCUCAGGGGGGACAUUUCUCACCUCAGGGUUUGGUCUAUAGACCCCAAAAGGAACCAGCCCUGAAUUCAAGGUUUCGCUCAGCUCCGCUUACUUCUAUUUCCUUCCGGAAGCUGGAAUUGCACAAUUAUCCUAAGCCUCGAAUGAAUUUUAAAAAAACAAAAACAAAAAACAAAGGAAGAAACAAACAAACAAACAAAACCAAAACAGAACAAAGAACCACGAGCGCGCCCCCCUCCCCCCCCUCCCCAAUAAGUCUCUUUGGCAGCAAUAACUUAAAAUCGCAUCAAUGUGGGUUCAGUCAACAGCAAGUUUUGGAUUUGGGGUGGGUUUGGGGUUGGGGUUUUUUAGUAAUUUUGUUUAAAUACAAAAAUAGUCAGGUUGGUGGGUCCCAGUGGGGGAUACUCCCUCCACAACCAACCCUCCACGUGUUGCUCCCCGCUACAAUGGGCAAGGGUCCCAGCAGUCCUCAGGGUCCCCAGCUGGGACUGAUCCCUGCAAACCAAGGGAGGGGAGCUCCAAAGCCAUGAGGACCACUCUGGGUAGCUGGUGGCACCUCUGGCACAGGGAGUGACAUCCAGAGUGGCAGCAGCCAGUGGCCCCUCGGUCAGGAAUGUCAUGGAGUGCCUCUGGGGCAGCCCUGGGGCAGCUGUGGGGCCACUGUGGGACAGCUGUGGGACAGCCAAGCUGCCACAAGGUGCAAGACUGAG
This 1376-nucleotide long non-coding RNA is filed under the name Taeniopygia guttata (zebra finch). RNAcentral's name for it is "lncRNA (ENSTGUG00000026904.1)". Lineage: Eukaryota; Metazoa; Chordata; Aves; Passeriformes; Estrildidae. The record is from RNAcentral.